RNA transcript from Diceros bicornis minor, 1579 nucleotides. It is a transcript of the gene named F-box and leucine rich repeat protein 22, with no coding region annotated. The record is from RefSeq and is a predicted model, not a curated record. The transcript has 2 exons. Lineage: Eukaryota; Metazoa; Chordata; Mammalia; Perissodactyla; Rhinocerotidae.
CCAAACCAGCAUGGUGUGGAGUGGACCUCCCAGGCACUGUCUGGGUACAGCACAGGGCCCCAGCGUCACAAAAAGAGCAAAGGCUUGGUGCUCAGGGUUCUGUGCCGAGUCCCCCAGUUCUGCUACGGUCCUACCACGUGACCCUAUCCCAAAUAUUUACACUCUUUCAACCUCAUUUCUUCAUCUGGAAAAUGAUAAGGGAUGAAUUGCCUUAUCUCACAGGCUAAAAGGAUUAAAGGACACAGUAGUACCAGCACACAGUAGGUAUCAGCAAGUGUCCACCGAAUCUGGUGGUUCUGGCAAUCAGCUGGGGGGAAGGGAGGGAGGCAGCUCUUUUUUCUCUGGUUUCUUCCUGCAUCAGGAUUAUUCUCAAGGUUCUGAGAGGAAGGGAUCACUCAACACCCUUCGGGCUUAAACACCUACUCCUCAUAACCACCCUGAAGGUAACAAUUUCUCCCAUUUGACAGAUGAGGUGGCCCAGCAAGGUUCAGACAGCAAAUACGUCACAGGCAAGUCACUUGAGCCCUCUGGGCCAGCUUCCUCAUUCCCAAACUGGGGGUGCAGAGAGCUGCUGUGAAGACUCAGGCGAGCUAAUGAACUUGGGAAGAGGGAGUGGACUCAGUAUAUGAAAUGAGGCUGUGCCCAGUCUACUUUGGUUCCUGAGCCCCUAAGGAGAGGCUGAUGGGGAAAGUGAAAGCCUCUGGGUCAGGCUCCAGUUUCCUCUGGCUACAGGGAUCCAAGGCCCCGGGCAUGCAGGAGACAGGUCCUUCUUGACCGGAAGCAGUCUGGUCCUGUUUGCUCCCAGAAAAGUAGGUUACAAUUGCCUAUAGAAGGCCCUGUGCAGGCUCUUUCCACCCCAAAUCUCACCCCUCACAACAACCCUACUGCUAGGCAUUAUUCCUUCCCUCCCCCAGCCUCCUCCGCCCCCCAACACAGAGGGAAGCUAAGGUUCAGUGAAUGAGUGACAGCCAAAGUCACACCGCAAAUAAACCAAGUCUAACUUUACUCAAGAUCUUUUUCUCCGGCCCGUGCUAGUAAGGCUGGGGCAGAGGGACCUCCAAGCUUUCUGGACAAGCGACCUGUGUGUCCCUGACUGUCCCCACCUCAGGCAGGGAUCUAACUACCUCCGGUUCCCGACCAUUUCCAGGCUGCGGUCCCAGUGGGGAUGCUAUAACUGGCCCAGUCAGCAGAGCUGCAACCAGCGCUCUAGAAGCCAGAGCCAAUCUUCAGAGGCCUGCCCCCAGGCCUCAAGAGCUGGAAUCGGCCUGUCACUAAGCCACCCCCACAGGAAACCCUCCCUCCCUCCCCCGUCCUGCCGGGAGCAUCAGGGCCUCAGCUUGAAGCUGAGCGGUCACCACGCACCGCUUCCCUCGCCCCCACCCAAGGCAACCAGUCCGGAGAGAACCAAAGAAAGGACAGCUGUCCCUCCUAGACCCAGCAGCCAGCCCCUGGGCCUCUGGCGGACCGGGGCUUGGGUUCUCCAUCGGGAAGAGAUUACGGUGCCCCAACCUGGCGUCCGUCACCCUGUCCGGCUGCGGCCACGUCACCGACGAUUGCCUGGCUCGCCUGCUGCGCUGCU